GAAACUUUCUGUUCAACGCCAAUAAGAACCCUUGCUCCUCAAAACUCCCCCCUCUCUCGACCACCGAAGAAAACCCCAGAUUUUGAAACCGGACCCGUCGAAGGAGAGAUCCGCCUGAAGCACACCAUUCCGUCCUAACGAGGCACUGAGUUUGUAUCAAAACAUUAUACGAGCUACCGACUUCUUCACGUGGCCGAAAUCUCCAGGUGUCCUCUGGCGCGAUGUAUUGACAGAGAAUGCUCGAAAGGAGUUCGAAGACGCCCGAUUUGAGAAGGAUCUGGAAAUUGUUGCUCUGAUGUUUGGAGGGCCGGAUGUCUGCAGUCAGCUCUUGAUAAGCUUGUCAAGAAGCAAAAGCAGCAAAUUGAGGAUGAAAGCAAUGAAUCAAAUCGACGUUGAAGUUUUUUGGUAAUAAUUGGAUUAAAUUUUGAUUAUUUUGUUGAUUAAUUUUAGCGUCGAUUGAUUUUAUAUUCUUUACCUUAUUUUAUCUGAAAAUAUGGAUGCAGUCAUUUGUAAUAUUUUAGUUGUGAAAAUUUAAGCCUUAUGCGAGAACGGUGGGAGUCCGGUUACAGAAUUGGGGAUUUUUUGGAAGAAUCAUUUUUUUUUUAUUUAGUUUGUAAAUUUGAUAUUCUAUGCUAGUUGCUCUUCUAAAAUUUGCUAUCUGUUAUUUGCAUUUAUAUAUUUGUUCUCAUUGUCUUGAUCAUUUCUUAAAGGAUGAAUACUGUCCCACUUGUAGAAUAAGUAUAUAUUUGUGUUCGAUUAGAACAUCACAGCUUAAUUAUGUAUUUG
Molecule: long non-coding RNA, 786 nt
Filed under: Olea europaea subsp. europaea
Lineage: Eukaryota; Viridiplantae; Streptophyta; Magnoliopsida; Lamiales; Oleaceae
Source: RNAcentral